GCUAAUACCGAAUAAUCUCUUUUGCUUCAUGGAAAGACUGAAAGACGGUUUCGGCUGUCGCUAUAGGAUGGGCCCGCGGCGCAUUAGCUAGUUGGUGAGGUAACGGCUCACCAAGGCGACGAUGCGUAGCCGACCUGAGAGGGUGAUCGGCCACACUGGGACUGAGACACGGCCCAGACUCCUACGGGAGGCAGCAGUAGGGAAUCUUCCACAAUGGGCGAAAGCCUGAUGGAGCAACGCCGCGUGAGUGAAGAAGGUUUUCGGAUCGUAAAACUCUGUUGUAAGGGAAGAACAAGUACAGUAGUAACUGGCUGUACCUUGACGGUACCUUAUUAGAAAGCCACGGCUAACUACGUGCCAGCAGCCGCGGUAAUACGUAGGUGGCAAGCGUUGUCCGGAAUUAUUGGGCGUAAAGCGCGCGCAGGCGGUCCUUUAAGUCUGAUGUAAAAGCCCACGGCUCAACCGUGGAGGGUCAUUGGAAACUGGGGGACUUGAGUGCAGAAGAGGAAAGUGGAAUUCCAAGUGUAGCGGUGAAAUGCGUAGAGAUUUGGAGGAACACCAGUGGCGAAGGCGACUGUCUGGUCUGUAACUGACGCUGAGGCGCGAAAGCGUGGGGAGCAAACAGGAUUAGAUACCCU
RNAcentral lists this ribosomal RNA (638 nucleotides) under Lysinibacillus macroides. RNAcentral describes it as "bacterial SSU rRNA". It matches the Rfam family "Bacterial small subunit ribosomal RNA", at positions 162 to 788 of the family's 1533-position model. Lineage: Bacteria; Bacillati; Bacillota; Bacilli; Caryophanales; Bacillaceae. The record is from RNAcentral.